GGAACCUGCCUUGUACAGGGGAAUAGCCCAGGGAAACUUGGAUUAAUGCCCCGUAGUACCGCGACCCGGCAUCGGGAUGCGGUUAAAGUCUUCGGGCGGUACAAGAUGGCCAUGCGUCCCAUUAGCUAGUUGGUAAGGUAACGGCUUACCAAGGCUACGAUGGGUAGGGGCCCUGAGAGGGGGAUCCCCCACACUGGUACUGAGACACGGACCAGACUCCUACGGGAGGCAGCAGUGAGGAAUAUUGGACAAUGGAGGAGACUCUGAUCCAGCCAUGCCGCGUGCAGGAAGAAUGCCCUAUGGGUAGUAAACUGCUUUUAUACGGGAAGAAAAAGAGCUACGUGUAGCUUACUGACGGUACCGUAAGAAUAAGGACCGGCUAACUCCGUGCCAGCAGCCGCGGUAAUACGGAGGGUCCGAGCGUUAUCCGGAAUUAUUGGGUUUAAAGGGUCCGUAGGCGGGCCGAUAAGUCAGGGGUGAAAGUCUGCCGCUCAACGGUAGAACUGCCUUUGAUACUGUCGGUCUUGAGUUAUAGUGAAGUUGCCGGAAUAUGUAGUGUAGCGGUGAAAUGCAUAGAUAUUACAUAGAACACCGAUUGCGAAGGCAGGUGACUAACUAUAUACUGACGCUGAUGGACGAAAGCGUGGGGAGCGAACAGGAUUAGAUACCCUGGUAGUCCACGCCGUAAACGAUGGAUACUAGCUGUCCGGUGCCUUGAGUACUGGGCGGCCAAGCGAAA
Molecule: ribosomal RNA, 739 nt
Filed under: Maribacter sp. J2146c
Lineage: Bacteria; Pseudomonadati; Bacteroidota; Flavobacteriia; Flavobacteriales; Flavobacteriaceae
Description: bacterial SSU rRNA
Rfam family: Bacterial small subunit ribosomal RNA
Source: RNAcentral